Molecule: ribosomal RNA, 486 nt
Filed under: uncultured bacterium
Lineage: Bacteria
Description: partial 16S ribosomal RNA
Rfam family: Bacterial small subunit ribosomal RNA
Source: RNAcentral
AUUGAACGCUGGCGGCAUGCCUUACACAUGCAAGUCGAACGGCAGCACGGGUGCUUGCACCUGGUGGCGAGUGGCGAACGGGUGAGUAAUACAUCGGAACAUGUCCUGUAGUGGGGGAUAGCCCGGCGAAAGCCGGAUUAAUACCGCAUACGAUCUACGGAUGAAAGCGGGGGACCUUCGGGCCUCGCGCUAUAGGGUUGGCCGAUGGCUGAUUAGCUAGUUGGUGGGGUAAAGGCCUACCAAGGCGACGAUCAGUAGCUGGUCUGAGAGGACGACCAGCCACACUGGGACUGAGACACGGCCCAGACUCCUACGGGAGGCAGCAGUGGGGAAUUUUGGACAAUGGGCGAAAGCCUGAUCCAGCAAUGCCGCGUGUGUGAAGAAGGCCUUCGGGUUGUAAAGCACUCUUGUCCGGAAAGAAAUCCUUGGCCCUAAUACGGUCGGGGGAUGACGGUACCGGAAGAAUAAGCACCAGCUAACUACGUG